UACGUAGGGGGCUAGCGUUGUCCGGAUUUAUUGGGCGUAAAGAGCGUGUAGGCGGCCAUACAGGUCAGCUGUGAAAACUCGAGGCUCAACCUCGAGACGUCGGUUGAAACCGUAUGGCUAGAGUCCGGAAGAGGAGAGUGGAAUUCCCGGUGUAGCGGUGAAAUGCGCAGAUAUCGGGAAGAACACCUAUGGCGAAGGCAGCUCUCUGGGACGGUACUGACGCUGAGACGCGAAAGCGUGGGGAGCGAACAGG
Molecule: ribosomal RNA, 253 nt
Filed under: uncultured bacterium
Lineage: Bacteria
Description: partial 16S ribosomal RNA
Rfam family: Bacterial small subunit ribosomal RNA
Source: RNAcentral